RNAcentral lists this ribosomal RNA (2900 nucleotides) under Enterobacter bugandensis. Its description in RNAcentral is "23S ribosomal RNA". It matches the Rfam family "Bacterial large subunit ribosomal RNA". Lineage: Bacteria; Pseudomonadati; Pseudomonadota; Gammaproteobacteria; Enterobacterales; Enterobacteriaceae. The record is from RNAcentral.
UUAAGCGACUAAGCGUACACGGUGGAUGCCCUGGCAGUCAGAGGCGAUGAAGGACGUGCUAAUCUGCGAAAAGCGACGGCGAGGUGAUAUGAACCUUUGACCCGUCGAUGUCCGAAUGGGGAAACCCAGUGCAAUCCGUUGCACUAUCGUUAACUGAAUACAUAGGUUAACGAGGCGAACCGGGGGAACUGAAACAUCUAAGUACCCCGAGGAAAAGAAAUCAACCGAGAUUCCCCCAGUAGCGGCGAGCGAACGGGGAGCAGCCCGGAGUCUGAAUCAGCUUGUGUGUUAGUGGAAGCGUCUGGAAAGUCGCACGGUACAGGGUGACAGUCCCGUACACGAAAAUGCACAGGUUGUGAACUCGAAGAGUAGGGCGGGACACGUGGUAUCCUGUCUGAAUAUGGGGGGACCAUCCUCCAAGGCUAAAUACUCCUGACUGACCGAUAGUGAACCAGUACCGUGAGGGAAAGGCGAAAAGAACCCCGGCGAGGGGAGUGAAAAAGAACCUGAAACCGUGUACGUACAAGCAGUGGGAGCACCUUCGGGUGUGACUGCGUACCUUUUGUAUAAUGGGUCAGCGACUUAUAUUCUGUAGCAAGGUUAACCGUAUAGGGGAGCCGCAGGGAAACCGAGUCUUAACUGGGCGUUAAGUUGCAGGGUAUAGACCCGAAACCCGGUGAUCUAGCCAUGGGCAGGUUGAAGGUUGGGUAACACUAACUGGAGGACCGAACCGACUAAUGUUGAAAAAUUAGCGGAUGACCUGUGGCUGGGGGUGAAAGGCCAAUCAAACCGGGAGAUAGCUGGUUCUCCCCGAAAGCUAUUUAGGUAGCGCCUCGUGAAUUCAUCUUCGGGGGUAGAGCACUGUUUCGGCUAGGGGGCCAUCCCGGCUUACCAACCCGAUGCAAACUACGAAUACCGAAGAAUGUUAUCACGGGAGACACACGGCGGGUGCUAACGUCCGUCGUGAAGAGGGAAACAACCCAGACCGCCAGCUAAGGUCCCAAAGUCAUGGUUAAGUGGGAAACGAUGUGGGAAGGCACAGACAGCCAGGAUGUUGGCUUAGAAGCAGCCAUCAUUUAAAGAAAGCGUAAUAGCUCACUGGUCGAGUCGGCCUGCGCGGAAGAUGUAACGGGGCUAAACCAUGCACCGAAGCUGCGGCAGCGACACUAUGUGUUGUUGGGUAGGGGAGCGUUCUGUAAGCCGUUGAAGGUGUGCUGUGAGGCAUGCUGGAGGUAUCAGAAGUGCGAAUGCUGACAUAAGUAACGAUAAAGCGGGUGAAAAGCCCGCUCGCCGGAAGACCAAGGGUUCCUGUCCAACGUUAAUCGGGGCAGGGUGAGUCGACCCCUAAGGCGAGGCCGAAAGGCGUAGUCGAUGGGAAACAGGUUAAUAUUCCUGUACUUGGUGUUACUGCGAAGGGGGGACGGAGAAGGCUAUGUCAGCCGGGCGACGGUUGUCCCGGUUUAAGCGUGUAGGUGUGUGUUCCAGGCAAAUCCGGUUCACUUUAACACUGAGGCGUGAUGACGAGGCACUACGGUGCUGAAGUGAUAAAUGCCCUGCUUCCAGGAAAAGCCUCUAAGCAUCAGGUAACACGAAAUCGUACCCCAAACCGACACAGGUGGUCAGGUAGAGAAUACCAAGGCGCUUGAGAGAACUCGGGUGAAGGAACUAGGCAAAAUGGUGCCGUAACUUCGGGAGAAGGCACGCUGAUAUGUAGGUGAAGUCCCUGCGGACGGAGCUGAAAUCAGUCGAAGAUACCAGCUGGCUGCAACUGUUUAUUAAAAACACAGCACUGUGCAAACACGAAAGUGGACGUAUACGGUGUGACGCCUGCCCGGUGCCGGAAGGUUAAUUGAUGGGGUUAGCGGCAACGCGAAGCUCUUGAUCGAAGCCCCGGUAAACGGCGGCCGUAACUAUAACGGUCCUAAGGUAGCGAAAUUCCUUGUCGGGUAAGUUCCGACCUGCACGAAUGGCGUAAUGAUGGCCAGGCUGUCUCCACCCGAGACUCAGUGAAAUUGAACUCGCUGUGAAGAUGCAGUGUACCCGCGGCAAGACGGAAAGACCCCGUGAACCUUUACUAUAGCUUGACACUGAACACUGGUCCUUGAUGUGUAGGAUAGGUGGGAGGCUUUGAAGCGUGGACGCCAGUCUGCGUGGAGCCGUCCUUGAAAUACCACCCUUUAAUGGCUGGUGUUCUAACGUGGACCCGUAAUCCGGGUUGCGGACAGUGUCUGGUGGGUAGUUUGACUGGGGCGGUCUCCUCCCAAAGAGUAACGGAGGAGCACGAAGGUUAGCUAAUCCUGGUCGGACAUCAGGAGGUUAGUGCAAUGGCAUAAGCUAGCUUGACUGCGAGAGUGACGGCUCGAGCAGGUGCGAAAGCAGGUCAUAGUGAUCCGGUGGUUCUGAAUGGAAGGGCCAUCGCUCAACGGAUAAAAGGUACUCCGGGGAUAACAGGCUGAUACCGCCCAAGAGUUCAUAUCGACGGCGGUGUUUGGCACCUCGAUGUCGGCUCAUCACAUCCUGGGGCUGAAGUAGGUCCCAAGGGUAUGGCUGUUCGCCAUUUAAAGUGGUACGCGAGCUGGGUUUAGAACGUCGUGAGACAGUUCGGUCCCUAUCUGCCGUGGGCGCUGGAGAAUUGAGGGGGGCUGCUCCUAGUACGAGAGGACCGGAGUGGACGCAUCACUGGUGUUCGGGUUGUCAUGCCAAUGGCACUGCCCGGUAGCUAAAUGCGGAAGAGAUAAGUGCUGAAAGCAUCUAAGCACGAAACUUGCCCCGAGAUGAGUUCUCCCUGAGACUUUAAGUCUCCUGAAGGAACGUUGAAGACGACGACGUUGAUAGGCCGGGUGUGUAAGCGCAGCGAUGCGUUGAGCUAACCGGUACUAAUGAACCGUGAGGCUUAACCU